RNAcentral lists this ribosomal RNA (292 nucleotides) under uncultured bacterium. Its description in RNAcentral is "partial 16S ribosomal RNA". The record is from RNAcentral.
GGACUACUGGGGUAUCUAAUCCUGUUUGCUCCCCGCACUUUCGCGCCUCAGCGUCAGUCAUUGGCUAGAAGUUCGCCUUCGCCACCGGUGUUCUUCCUGAUAUCUACAGAUUUCACCCCUACACCAGGAAUUCCAACUCCCCCUCCAUGACUCCAGUUCCACAGUUUCCAACGCAGUCCCGGAGUUAAGCCCCAGGAUUUCACGCCAGACUUAUUUAACCGCCUACGCGCCCUUUACGCCCAAUAAUUCCGAACAACGCUCGCCCCUUACGUGUUACCGCGGCUGCUGGCAC